Ribosomal RNA from Pteropus vampyrus (large flying fox), 119 nucleotides. The record is from Ensembl. Lineage: Eukaryota; Metazoa; Chordata; Mammalia; Chiroptera; Pteropodidae.
GUCUAUAACCAUGCUACCCUGAACAAGGCCGAUCUUGUCUGACCUCAGAAGCUAAGCAGAGUUGGGCCUGGUUAGUAGUUGGAUGAGAGACCACCUAGGAAGACCAGGUGCUAUAGACA